CACAUGAGUGAGCGCGUGUGUGUCU
RNAcentral lists this non-coding RNA (25 nucleotides) under Rattus norvegicus (Norway rat). Lineage: Eukaryota; Metazoa; Chordata; Mammalia; Rodentia; Muridae. The record is from RNAcentral.